AAAAGGUGUCAGACAAAUUGUCUGCUGAAAAGAGAAACAGGUGUGAUUCCUGUGCGAACUCGUCACCGUAUUUUGAGAGUGAAGGCUGAUGACCACUGGGUAACUGGGAAGGGGGCCGGAGCGUCUGAUCAAUAAGUCGGGAGAACUGCCUUUUGUU
This 157-nucleotide non-coding RNA is filed under the name uncultured Marvinbryantia sp. The record is from RNAcentral. Lineage: Bacteria; Bacillati; Bacillota; Clostridia; Lachnospirales; Lachnospiraceae.